CUAUUUUUUUUUUUUAAUUAUUUUAAUUAGCAAGGUAUGAGGAAUUUGAUAAUGGAGUUUUUUGUUGAACCAAAAAAAUGGGAGCUUUGGAUGAAGAAGAAACCAGUUUGAGAGCUCAAACCGACUUGAUAUUAGGGUUAGUUGUCAUCAUUAAUGAGAGGAAAUGUGGAUUGUACUAUAUAAGAAAGUCAGAAUGUUUGAUCAAUAAAAAGAAGGAAGACAAGGUCACAAAGGAAGUGGAAAAAAAAAUCCAUUUUGGCGUUUAGAAUUUACUUCAAAAUGUGAUAUAUAUCAGAAUAUUAAUGGCAUUGAUGAUUGAGGUCUUGGUUGUCGAACCAGAAAUGGUGGUUUGCGUAUUUUAUACGAUAAAGAGGCCUGGAUUUGAGCUAUGACUAGAUUGGGAAAAGAGAAAGAAAGUUAGAUCACUCACUGUUCAUAUUCAUUCUCUCACUGCCUUGGUUUUGCAGUGGAUCUGUCAUUGUAGUAAUCAGAUAACAGAAAAAUAGUGUUCAUGUAUGAAAUGCUUGAGAAAGAGCUACCUUUUGGUUCAAUGUGUCGAUGAAGUUAACGGACAGUGGGGAGAUGCAGAUGAAUUCUUCAAUGAGGUAUGGAUGCAUUCCUAAGAACAAGAGCUUUAAUGCAGACGUCUCGAUCUAUUGGAAGGGAUACUAUGAACUUGAAUAUAAUAAUCAUAAGGCAUGCAACUUUUAUAUUAAGGCCAUUUCUUUGAGAAGGACUUGACGAAGGGAACAUAUUAAGGGCAUCCGAAGUUUAUAAAUCUUGAAGGAAAAUGUUUACGUAAAGUAUAGAAAAGCCAGUAAAUGAAUUUGCAUUCGAAGAUGAUUGUUAUGACAAAAAGAUAUAAAAAGAACUUAGUUUCCACUCCAACUCCGUGUGAGUUGCUAUGAAAUGGAAUGAUGAAACUCACACGGUUCAAACUUUUGUUGCACUCAUAGUUGCACCAUGUUCUAUUCCACUUCUAGUCUCUUUGUAAAUCGAAGACAAUUGCUUAAAAAAUGAAGUUCUAGCAAAUGAAGUAUUCCAUACUUUUCCAAUCAA
Long non-coding RNA from Cucumis melo (muskmelon), 1059 nucleotides. RefSeq lists it as uncharacterized. The record is from RefSeq and is a predicted model, not a curated record. Lineage: Eukaryota; Viridiplantae; Streptophyta; Magnoliopsida; Cucurbitales; Cucurbitaceae. The transcript is spliced from 3 exons.